AGCAUAAUCAUUUGCCUUUUAAUUGGAGGCUUGUAUGAACGGACACACGAAAACGCAACUUUCUUAUCGAGGAAAAUAAAAAUUAACCUUCAAGUGAAGAGACUUGAGUACCAUAAAAAGACGAAAAGACCCUAUGGAGCUUUACUUAAGUUAUUAAACCACAAAUAAAAAAAGCUUUUUUUACUAAAAAAGUUUAGUUGGGGCGACUAAGGAGCACACACCACCCUCCUACUGACAAAAGACUCUAAAUCUACAAAAGAUCCACAAACGUGAAUAAAAAUCCAGCUACCCUAGGGAUAACAGGCUAAUCCUCCUUAAGAGCUCAAAUUGACAGGAGGGCUUGGCACCUCGAUGUUGGCUUAAGAUCUCUACUAAGUGCAGCAGCUUAGGUAGUAGGUUUGUUCAACCUUUAAAA
Molecule: ribosomal RNA, 415 nt
Filed under: Aurospio sp. 249 PB
Lineage: Eukaryota; Metazoa; Annelida; Polychaeta; Spionida; Spionidae
Description: partial 16S ribosomal RNA
Rfam family: Bacterial large subunit ribosomal RNA
Source: RNAcentral